GACUCCAUAGCUAAGUGGUUAUAGCAUGAGAUUGCAGUUAUACGUUAUCUCGGGGUCGCGUGUUCGAGUCACGCUGGAGUCU
This is a non-coding RNA of Guyanagaster necrorhizus, 82 nucleotides long. NCBI's taxonomy places the organism in Eukaryota, Fungi, Basidiomycota, Agaricomycetes, Agaricales, Physalacriaceae. The record is from the annotation of a RefSeq genome assembly.